UAUAGUGGGGGAGAGGGAGGGGCUGAACAUAUCAAUUCCCACGCCCCGGUGGCAGCCCUACCUCUCCCAUAACUCCGUUUUCUCCUCAGAUCGGUUCCGGCAGCGCUUGGCGAAACCCUGUUGGCACUGCUCCACCAUCAUGUCUACGAUGCCGUCAUGCUGGUUGAGAUCCCAUCGACUCUUCCUUCCUCUCUUGCUGUAUCAAGAAGGAGGAGACGUCAUCGAGCCGUACGUGUGCUGAACGCGGAGGCGCCGUUCGUUCGGUGCUAGAUCGGGAAGGAUCGUGAUGAGAUUCGGGACGGAUCGUGAUGAGAUCGCGGGACGGGCUGCGAUUUGGAUCGCGAAGUUGUUCCACUAGUAUGCUUCCGCUUAGCGAUCUACAAGGGUGUGUAGAUUCAGUCUCCCCUCUCGUAGAUGAUCAUCACCAUGGAUAGGUAUUGCGUGUGCGUAGGAAAUUUUUUGUUUCCCAUGCAACGUUCCCCAACAAAGGCCCUUCUUCACGGAGAACCACUGCCUGGGGACGCCGUUGAGCAGAACCCCUGCCUUAGAGGAGUGGAGUAUGAGGUCCAUCCAAACGCACCAAGCGGGAGGGAACCCCCGCACCUCCAAAAUCUACCGGAGGCUCGGCC
This 629-nucleotide long non-coding RNA is filed under the name Hordeum vulgare. RNAcentral describes it as "long non-coding RNA (HVUL_LNC010453)". The record is from RNAcentral. Lineage: Eukaryota; Viridiplantae; Streptophyta; Magnoliopsida; Poales; Poaceae.